UCCUCCUCCAACAUUCCUGAGAUCAUAUGCAAGAUUUACUUAUUGGAGAAUAAUGAAGCAUAGUAUCAGACAGCACUUUUUUUCUUUAAUUUCUUGCAAUUAUAAAAAAAGUUUGUUUUUAAGAGAGUUGUUUUUGUAAAAGAGAGAAAAAUAAUAAUUACUGCACACAUAGGGAAAAUCCCAUUGAUUUCCAGCUUACUUGAAACCAAAGAGAAAAUAAAUACUUCAAUGCCUAUCUGAUUCCAGGAGAUUAUGUAGGAAGGUAGAGGCGAUAGACAUCAGCCCAAAGACCAUCCAAAAAAAGACAUGAAAGUUAUCCCAGUCAGCUUUAAAAUAGUAGUAUGAAGUGUAAUGAUAGGGUGAGUCUAAAAAAGAAGUAAGCGAUAUAAGUUAUAGUGAGAUCAUAGCAUGGUCCAAACCACCAAUAGGAGAACAAAAAAAAACUUAACACAAAUUAGGCACAGAGACAAUACAGAAAUCAAGGAGAGAUGGUAAGUGGUUAGGGUUGUCUGGAUAAUGAGUCACAAAGCUGACUAUUUGAGUAAGAGAUAAAGAAAAACAAAAAAUUUGAACAAUGAUAGCAGGCUUAGUGGAGUCGAGCUAUUCACUAUGAUAAGAAUUGAAAUCACCAAUGAAUUGGCUGAAGGAUAAAGUGAAAGGGCUCUGUCAAUUUGAUGAGAAAUAACAUCAGAAAUAGCACAGUCUUGGAAAGAAGGAGAAUGAUAAAGUAUUAAGAGAAAGGUAGAUGAGUAAGCAAAAGCACAUAAAUGCAUAAUCAGUGGGUUCAAAUGUUGCUACAAAUAGGCAAAUUGAUUCAUAAAUAUACGUACAGGCCAAGCAUGCAACUAUUGCAUUCUUUACAUAUCAAAAGAUAAUUGCCAAUACUGAAAUCCGAUUAUAAAACAACUGAAAUCAAAUUGGUCUUACAAAAAACAAGUAGGUCUGGUGAAUUUUGCAGUAAGUUUCAACACAUGAAAAGCUAGGUGAUGAUGGCAGUUUUUUGUGUUUUACGUUUUAAAGUACUUUAGUCAUGUUUAUGUUUUAUCUUUAAUUGACUUAAUCAUAGGUAGUCCAAUAUACCUUGGCAAUAAUAUACCUGUAUAUACAUAUAUAUAUAUAUAGUGCCUUACAGGUGAACCAGCACUGCACCAGAGACAAAAUACAAACAUACAUAGGAAAACACAAAAAUAGAUAUUUGGUAUGUCUACUAGGCAGCAGGACAUGGGAUGUAACUUAUCAACUGGCUUAUCCAUAUUGAUAAACCUGCAUGUGAUCGUAAUCUGGUAAUGAAAUGAAAUGUUGUUUGUGAUUAGUUCGCUCUCUUAUGAAAGCCAUAUAUAUUUGUAAUAUCCUAAUGUAUCCUCAACAUUAAAUACGUUUAGAAUUAAUAUUUAUACAAAAUAA
Hydra vulgaris (swiftwater hydra) is the source of this 1404-nucleotide non-coding RNA. NCBI's taxonomy places the organism in Eukaryota, Metazoa, Cnidaria, Hydrozoa, Anthoathecata, Hydridae. The record is from RefSeq and is a predicted model, not a curated record.